GUCGAGCGGAAACGAUCCUAGCUUGCUAGGAGGCGUCGAGCGGCGGACGGGUGAGUAAUGCAUAGGAAUCUGCCCGGUAGUGGGGGAUAACCUGGGGAAACCCAGGCUAAUACCGCAUACGUCCUACGGGAGAAAGCAGGGGAUCUUCGGACCUUGCGCUAUCGGAUGAGCCUAUGUCGGAUUAGCUAGUUGGUGAGGUAAUGGCUCACCAAGGCUGCGAUCCGUAGCUGGUCUGAGAGGAUGAUCAGCCACAUCGGGACUGAGACACGGCCCGAACUCCUACGGGAGGCAGCAGUGGGGAAUAUUGGACAAUGGGCGAAAGCCUGAUCCAGCCAUGCCGCGUGUGUGAAGAAGGCCUUCGGGUUGUAAAGCACUUUCAGUGAGGAAGAAGGCCUUGAGGUUAAUACCCUCGAGGAAGGACAUCACUCACAGAAGAAGCACCGGCUAACUCCGUGCCAGCAGCCGCGGUAAUACGGAGGGUGCGAGCGUUAAUCGGAAUUACUGGGCGUAAAGCGCGCGUAGGCGGCUUGAUAAGCCGGUUGUGAAAGCCCCGGGCUCAACCUGGGAACGGCAUCCGGAACUGUCAGGCUAGAGUGCAGGAGAGGAAGGUAGAAUUCCCGGUGUAGCGGUGAAAUGCGUAGAGAUCGGGAGGAAUACCAGUGGCGAAGGCGGCCUUCUGGACUGACACUGACGCUGAGGUGCGAAAGCGUGGGUAGCAAACAGGAUUAGAUACCCUGGUAGUCCACGCCGUAAACGAUGUCGACUAGCCGUUGGGCUCCUUGAGAGCUUUGUGGCGCAGUUAACGCGAUAAGUCGACCGCCUGGGGAGUACGGCCGCAAGGUUAAAACUCAAAUGAAUUGACGGGGGCCCGCACAAGCGGUGGAGCAUGUGGUUUAAUUCGAUGCAACGCGAAGAACCUUA
RNAcentral lists this ribosomal RNA (921 nucleotides) under Halomonas sp. JSM 077039. Its description in RNAcentral is "bacterial SSU rRNA". It matches the Rfam family "Bacterial small subunit ribosomal RNA", at positions 61 to 973 of the family's 1533-position model. Lineage: Bacteria; Pseudomonadati; Pseudomonadota; Gammaproteobacteria; Oceanospirillales; Halomonadaceae. The record is from RNAcentral.